This 392-nucleotide ribosomal RNA is filed under the name uncultured bacterium. RNAcentral describes it as "partial 16S ribosomal RNA". It matches the Rfam family "Bacterial small subunit ribosomal RNA", at positions 523 to 918 of the family's 1533-position model. The record is from RNAcentral.
AUACGGAGGAUCCGAGCGUUAUCCGGAUUUAUUGGGUUUAAAGGGUGCGCAGGCGGCCAUUUAAGUCAGCGGUGAAAUCGUGGGGCUCAACCCCAUUCUGCCGUUGAUACUGGGUGGCUUGAUUGCGGUCGAGGUUGGCGGAAUUCGUUGUGUAGCGGUGAAAUGCAUAGAUAUGACGAAGAACACCGAUUGCGUAGGCAGCUGACCAGACCGCAAAUGACGCUCAUGCACGAAAGUGCGGGGAUCGAACAGGAUUAGAUACCCUGGUAGUCCGCACAGUAAACGAUGAAUACUUGUUUUCGGCGAUAUAAUGUCGGAGGCAAAGCGAAAGCGAUAAGUAUUCCACCUGGGGAGUACGCCGGCAACGGUGAAACUCAAAGGAAUUGACGGGG